AACGGGUACGGGCAGAUUUCUAGUAGCAAGUAAUGCAUUUCACAAUUCGAGAUUUUAUGACCUCAUGUAUUGUCGGCCAAUGAUAAAAAAACUGAAAAUUUACACUCUAUUGGACUGUUGCAACUUUUGCAGCUUCCAUCACAAGUCUGAUAUGAUAUUUCAAUAGAAUCCUUAUCUCAUUUCCAAGAUGCUUAUCCUUCCUUUCCGCUUGUGGACAAGCUAUUUCCCAGGGCGGGAGUGAUGUUAUGGAUGCGUUCAUGGGUAAGUACUACAACAAGAGCUCCAAAUAGAAUUAAAAGUCCAUCAACAGUACAAGUUUAUCUUUCAUUAGUUAUCUGCAUUGUAAACCUCACUAUAAAAAGGGGUUAUUACUAAUGAAUAAAAUAAGCAGAAACUAUUUACCCAAAUUCUUUCAAGAUUUGGAGCUCUCUUUCAACGAGCUCUAAAAUGCCCGAGCUCUCUUUCAAUGAGCUCUAAAAUAGCUCCCUCCAUUGAGCUCUCAUAUUCCUUCAUCGUAGGUUCCACCGAAGAGGAGGGAAUGUAAUAAAGGCAAGGGCACAGCUGAAGACAGCUCUCCUACUCGCAGACCCGUGACAUGAUCCUUAACCAGGGAACUUAACACAACCACAUUUGAGUACAGUCUCAUUUUGAGUACAGUCUCAUCAUGCUUGAAAUGAUUCCAAAGUCUGCAGCUUUCUGAGCAUAAUUGAAAUGUAUGUAAUUAUUGGAUUCUUGUUUGGGAUUGG
Molecule: long non-coding RNA, 746 nt
Filed under: Manihot esculenta (cassava)
Lineage: Eukaryota; Viridiplantae; Streptophyta; Magnoliopsida; Malpighiales; Euphorbiaceae
Description: long non-coding RNA (MESC_LNC008207)
Source: RNAcentral